This 354-nucleotide ribosomal RNA is filed under the name uncultured bacterium. Its description in RNAcentral is "bacterial SSU rRNA". It matches the Rfam family "Bacterial small subunit ribosomal RNA", at positions 29 to 409 of the family's 1533-position model. The record is from RNAcentral.
AACGAACGCUGGCGGCAUGCCUAACACAUGCAAGUCGAACGAGACCUUCGGGUCUAGUGGCGCACGGGUGCGUAACGCGUGGGAAUCUGCCCCUUGGUUCGGAAUAACAGCGAGAAAUUGCUGCUAAUACCGGAUAAUGACGUAAGUCCAAAGAUUUAUCGCCAAGGGAUGAGCCCGCGUAGGAUUAGCUAGUUGGUGUGGUAAAGGCGCACCAAGGCGACGAUCCUUAGCUGGUCUGAGAGGAUGAUCAGCCACACUGGGACUGAGACACGGCCCAGACUCCUACGGGAGGCAGCAGUGGGGAAUAUUGGACAAUGGGCGAAAGACCUGAUCCAGCAAUGCCGCGUGAGUGAU